This 399-nucleotide ribosomal RNA is filed under the name Triticum aestivum (bread wheat). Its description in RNAcentral is "partial small subunit ribosomal RNA". The record is from RNAcentral. Lineage: Eukaryota; Viridiplantae; Streptophyta; Magnoliopsida; Poales; Poaceae.
AUGUUGCACACAUCCCGAGACAGUGCAGCAGCGGACAUGAUUUCGAUGGGUGGAGUCGCCGAGUGCUCUAGGUUACUCCCGACCGUGGUCUCAGGAAAAGAGAAGAAGAAAAAUCGCACCUCGGGCUGGCUCGGUCGGAAAAACGUCGAGAAAAAAGGAGAGAAGAAAAAAGAAUUGCGGCUCGGGCACGCAGGAUUUGUCCCCCCUCGCGUCGCAUCUCCCCCAACCCUCUCGCUCCGCCGCCGACCGCCCGCACGCCGCUCCUCCGCCGCGCGCGCUCUCCUCCUGCGUCGCCUCCCACGCCGUCCCGUCGGAUGCCGCGCGCGCUCCCCUCCGCCGCGCGUGCCCGACCCCUCCUCCUCCGCCGCCGCCGCGGCCUCGUUCUUCCAGGCCCGGUAG